This 248-nucleotide ribosomal RNA is filed under the name uncultured bacterium. RNAcentral's name for it is "partial 16S ribosomal RNA". It matches the Rfam family "Bacterial small subunit ribosomal RNA", at positions 109 to 353 of the family's 1533-position model. The record is from RNAcentral.
AGUAAUACAUAAGUAACCUGCCCUAGACAGGGGGAUAACGUUCUGAAAAGAACGCUAAUACCGCAUGAGACUACAGAGCUGCAUGGCUCAGUGGUCAAAGGAGCAAUCCGCUGAAAGAUGGACUCGCGUCCGAUUAGAUAGUAGGCGGGGUAACGGCCCACCAAACCUUCGAUGGAUAGGGGUUCUGAGAGGAAGGUCCCCCACAUUGGAACUGAGACACGGUCCAAACUCCUACGGGAGGCAGCAUG